CAUGAGUGGCCGAGUAGUAACAAUUAAUUAAAUUCGGGUAAAUCUCCAGAACAUUUCUUGAUUUGAUCAGUAUUUUCAUAUUUUUUUAAUAGGUUUUGGGGUAGGUCACGUUAUAUAUGAGACUCGGAACCGUGAUAGUACCGUAUAAGGGGUUGUUUUCACGGGGUAUACAUUAUCGUGAAUGGAACAAAAUCGCCAAAAUAAAUGCCGCCCAUUUGAAAGUGUACAAGCAAAGGAAUUGAUAAAUAUUUU
This 252-nucleotide long non-coding RNA is filed under the name Mytilus galloprovincialis (Mediterranean mussel). The record is from RNAcentral. Lineage: Eukaryota; Metazoa; Mollusca; Bivalvia; Mytilida; Mytilidae.